ACCCCUGUGAACAUACCACUUGUUGCCUCGGCNGNUCAGCCCGCUCCCGGUAAAACGGGACGGCCCGCCAGAGGACCCCUAAACUCUGUUUCUAUAUGUAACUUCUGAGUAAAACCAUAAAUAAAUCAAAACUUUCAACAACGGAUCUCNNGGUUCUGGCAUCGAUGANNNACGCAGCAANAUGCGAUAAGUAAUGUGAAUUGC
RNAcentral lists this unclassified non-coding RNA (204 nucleotides) under Fusarium oxysporum f. sp. phaseoli. Its description in RNAcentral is "partial contains ITS1, 5.8S rRNA and ITS2". The stretch from base 130 to 204 matches the Rfam family "5.8S ribosomal RNA", at positions 1 to 75 of the family's 154-position model. The record is from RNAcentral. Lineage: Eukaryota; Fungi; Ascomycota; Sordariomycetes; Hypocreales; Nectriaceae.